Molecule: non-coding RNA, 570 nt
Organism: Schizosaccharomyces pombe (fission yeast)
Lineage: Eukaryota; Fungi; Ascomycota; Schizosaccharomycetes; Schizosaccharomycetales; Schizosaccharomycetaceae
Source: the annotation of a GenBank genome assembly
UAUUGUUCGUCAACAUUUGAUGGCUUCUCAGUAUCUUGGUCGGUGUUUUUUUCUGGCGCAAUUCGAUAUCGUUUAGUCAUAUCCAGCUGAAUUAUAACCAUUUAGUAAAAUAAUAAGAGCCAAGCAUUAACGUACCAUUUGACGUUUGCAUUCGCCAUACGCCUCUAUCAGAUUUUUGCAUUCUUCUGGAAGUUCGUCCUUGUUUUUGAGACAUUCUCGUGCACUUUUUUUUUUAACAAACAUACAAUCAGAAUGUAACAAACAAUUUGCUAAAUCUUCACGAAUAACUUUACACGAUCGGCCCAUUUUUUACUGUAAUUUUAAAACAAGGCUAAAAGUACAUUGAAUUCGUUCUUGUCAGUAGAAAAUAGGAUUUGGCGUAAGGUAAGGUGAACCUCUACAAUUUGUUAAUCCCUUAAAAGAACCAUAUGAUCAAAUGUUCUAUACUAGAUUCACCAUACGUAAAAUACAUACUAUUAAGAAAAUAAUUAAGCAAGCUGCUUUUAAUUAGGUUUCAUAAAACUGGGAAUCCAAAAUCUUUUGUCGGGCUAAACGCAUAGUAAUUUGACA